AACGGCCGUACCAUGCUGAAUAUACCGGUUUUCGUUAGAUCACCGAAGUCAAGCAUCAUUGGGCGCGGUCAGUACUUGGGAGGGUGACCACCUGGGAACACCGCGUGCCGUU
This 112-nucleotide ribosomal RNA is filed under the name Caerostris darwini. Lineage: Eukaryota; Metazoa; Arthropoda; Arachnida; Araneae; Araneidae. The record is from RNAcentral.